CUCAAUAAAUUCUGAUAUGAACCGAAUGAGUGUCAGUGUUUACAUCAAUAGUUUACAAGAAAUGCCUCCUGCUCAACAUAGUGCUGUAAUUGUUGAUGAUAUGGUUCCUUAUAGCGCUAGCUCCCACUUGGGGUUAUCCGUUGCAGAACCCUUUUGAAUAUCUCUAUCCCUUAGCAUAUCCUGCUUCAGGAGUUUAUACCGAGUUGAAUUAUGAGCCUCGAAUUCUUCCCUACAAUCCCUACAUGCCCGGUUACAUUAACGAAUACGUCCAGGAUUAUGGAAACAACAGAGAUUCGAAUAUCCAGCCCAGACCCGAGCAGCCUACAUUGAAUAUUAUGGCAGAAUUACCGUAUUCCAUAUCUAAACAAUUUUCGGUCGUUCCCUUAUUCAUCGUACCAAAAGACAACAUGAACAUGAUAUCGAAUGGUCAGAUCACUUCCAUAUCCCAAAAUCAACCCUUAAUGACCAUCAAAUUAAAUGAGAACCAAUCGAUCCAGUGCACUCCAGCUGUAAGAAUGGUUCUGGAAAAACCCAUCAUAGUAGGGCGAACGGAGAGUGAAGUGCUUUUCCCAUCUGAAGUGCAAAUUCUCCACGAGGGAGUGAGAAUACCGAUCAAGAUUGGAGCGGUUAUCGCUCCAGUUUUGCCGCAAACUGCAGUUGCGCAAAAUUCUCCUAUUUCAGUUCGGGUGGUCUAUGCUGUUCCAACAAGACCAAUCAAAAUCACCAUAACCAUUGAGCAAGAAAGUGCCAAACCAGACGAUACCAACAAUUCGGAUGCAGUUGUGGUGGAAAAUGAGGCUGAUCUUCCGCCAAAAAAUAUCACCAUUACAGACUUUCCUUCUGAAGUUGCACAACCGUCGAUACAAGUGGACGAGGAAGAUGAAGAGCUUGUUAAUCGCAACCCACCAAGUUUGCCUCUUGCACCCGCGGGUAUAGUACAAUCCACUCAACCUCAGAUUCACAACAAACCCUUCCACAACGACAAAGAUUCGCCAUACUUGGACACUUUGAAGUUGAAAAAGCAUCAAUAAAAUGGUGUACUGUAAUUUAUAUAGUAUUUUUGAUAAUAAAACUGAUUUAACGUA
This is an RNA transcript of Dendroctonus ponderosae (mountain pine beetle), 1085 nucleotides long. RefSeq lists it as uncharacterized. NCBI's taxonomy places the organism in Eukaryota, Metazoa, Arthropoda, Insecta, Coleoptera, Curculionidae. The transcript is spliced from 6 exons. The record is from RefSeq and is a predicted model, not a curated record.